AGAGUAAGAGCUGGGUAAGACGGGUGCCAGCCGCCGCGGUAAUACCUGCAGCUCAAGUGGUGGCCGCUAUUAUUGGGCCUAAAACGUCCGUAGCCGGUUUAGUAAAUGCUUGGGUAAAUUGUGUAGCUUAACUAUACGAAUACCGGGUAGACUGCUAAACUUGGGACCGGGAGAGGCUAGAGGUACUCCUAGGGUAGAGGUGAAAUUCUGUAAUCCUAGGGGGACCACCAGUGGCGAAGGCGUCUAGCUAGAACGGACCUGACGGUGAGGGACGAAGGCUAGGGGAGCGAACCGGAUUAGAUACCCGGGUAGUCCUAGCUGUAAAGUAUGCUGGCCAGGUGUAGGGCGCUCCACGAGGGCGCCCGGUGCCGUAGGGAAGCCGUUAAGCCAGCCGCCUGGGAAGUACGGCCGCAAGGCUGAAACUUAAAGAAAUUGGCGGGGGAGCACCACAAGGGGUGGAGCCUGCGGUUUAAUUGGAUUCAACGCCGGACAACUCACCGGGGGCGACGGCAGUUUGAAGGCCAGGUCGACGACCUUGCCGGACGAGCCGAGAGGUGGUGCAUGGCCGCCGUCAGCUCGUACUGUGAAGCGUCCUGUUAAGUCAGGCAAAGAGCGAGACCCUCAUCCCUAGUUGCCAUCAGUUAAAUGCUGAGCACUCUAUGGAGACCGCUGUCGCUAAGGCAGAGGAAGGAGAGGGCGACGGUAGGUCCGUAUGCCCCGAAUCCCCCGGGCUACACGCGGGCUACAAUGCGCAGGACAAAGAGAUGCGACUCCGUAAGGAGGAGCCAAACUCAUAAACCUGCGCCUAGUUCGGAUCGAGGGCUGAAACUCGCCCUCGUGAAGCUGGAAUCCCUAGUAAUCGCGUGCCACUAUCGCGCGGUGGAUACGUCCCUGCUCCUUGCACACACCGCCCGUCAAACCAUUCGAGUGGGGUUUGGAUGAGGCCCGUCUCAGUUGGACAGGUCGAAUCCGUUUCUGCAAGAAGGGUU
RNAcentral lists this ribosomal RNA (989 nucleotides) under uncultured archaeon. Its description in RNAcentral is "bacterial SSU rRNA". It matches the Rfam family "Archaeal small subunit ribosomal RNA", at positions 432 to 1429 of the family's 1478-position model. The record is from RNAcentral.